GCCUGGACGGUCGCCCACACCCAUAACAGAGAGGCGAGAGCUUUAACAGAGCGCUGUUAAGCUGUAACAGUCGGUGCAAAUGCAAAGAGCGCCAAAGUCGCUGCGCUGUCGCAGCUGACUGCGAGCUGCGACGUCGACUGUGGCAGCGGCAGCAGCUGUUUGGGGCCAAGCGAAAAAGUUUUUUUCGAGCACUUCGGUUCAGUUUGGACUUGCCUUUGACCGCGUGCGGACGGCGAUGCCAGCGAGUUGUUGUUUUGUCGGCUUCCACUGACACUCUGUGCAGUGUCUCUCUGUCUGUGUGUGUGAGUGCGUGUGCCUGUGCGUUUGUCUCCCCUACGUUUAUCUCUUGCAUGAGUGCGGGCGCCACUCUCUGCGUGUGUGUGUGUGUGUGUGGGGUACCCGCAGCGACUGCGACGGCGACGGCGACAGCGGCAGAGACAGCGACAGCGAUAUACCAACAGCAACAGUAACACCAACACCAACAGCUACAGAGACGGCUACACCAAUACCAAUGCGAGCCAGCAACAGCGGCAGCGCCGCAUUCGUGUGUAUCUUCUUGUUGUCUGUUUGUCGUAUAAAUUGAGCCGCACUUUGCUUAUUCUCGAGUUUUUGCCGCUCAGACGUCGUCGUUGUAACUGCAAGCGCUGCGCAGCGAACGCGUCGCGUUUUAUCAAAAACAAAAAAGAAAAUAACAAAAUACAAAGAACAUAUAGUACUUUCGAAACUGUAUUGGCCAUAUAAAACAAAAUAAAAUAAAAAAGAAGCAAAAUCAUGAAACGCUAAAAAGUAAGCAAUUCCUUCAAUGAAAAAUAAAAUGUAUCUGAAAUAUAUAUGUACGUAGCUGAAAGAUACAAGUGCAACACAGAAAACACCCAGCACAAAAAAUAUUUCAAAGCGAAAAAUUGUUUUAUUUUUAGAACGAAAUACGAAAUAUACGUUGAACUGAGAGUUUCCCCCAGAAAAUGAAAUAAAUAUUUGAGAAUUCAUUAAAUCUGUU
This is a long non-coding RNA of Drosophila mojavensis, 997 nucleotides long. RefSeq lists it as uncharacterized. The record is from RefSeq and is a predicted model, not a curated record. NCBI's taxonomy places the organism in Eukaryota, Metazoa, Arthropoda, Insecta, Diptera, Drosophilidae. The transcript is spliced from 2 exons.